CAGCCGCCGCGGUAAUACGAAGGGUGCAAGCGUUACUCGGAAUUACUGGGCGUAAAGCGUGCGUAAGCGGUGAGUUAAGUCUGCUGUGAAAUCCCCGGGCUCAACCUGGGAAUGGCAGUGGAUACUGGCUCGCUAGAGUGUGGUAGAGGAUAGUGGAAUUUCCGGUGUAGCAGUGAAAUGCGUAGAGAUCGGAAGGAACAUCUGUGGCGAAGGCGACUAUCUGGGCCAACACUGACACUGAGGCACGAAAGCGUGGGGAGCAAACAGGAUUAGAUACCCCUGUAGUCCCUGUCUCUUAUAC
This 301-nucleotide ribosomal RNA is filed under the name uncultured bacterium. RNAcentral's name for it is "partial 16S ribosomal RNA". It matches the Rfam family "Bacterial small subunit ribosomal RNA", at positions 509 to 807 of the family's 1533-position model. The record is from RNAcentral.